Molecule: non-coding RNA, 53 nt
Filed under: unclassified sequences
Description: Li+-I sequence
Rfam family: nhaA-I RNA
About the family: Acidobacteria, Alphaproteobacteria, Betaproteobacteria and Gammaproteobacteria, Verrucomicrobia, cand. division NC10. Downstream gene
Source: Rfam by way of RNAcentral
GGGUCCGGAAACGCAUGGCGCUUCCGGAGGAAUGGAUGGUCGGGCCGCCAUCU